GAUGAACGCUGGCGGCGUGCUUAACACAUGCAAGUCGAACGGAAAGGCCCUGCUUUUGUGGGGUUCUCGAUUGGCGAAGGCGGGAGUGACACGUGAGUAUCCUGCCCUUGACUUUCGGGUAACAUCAGGAAACUGGGGCUAAUAUCGGAGAGGAUCUCCUGCAGCAUGGUGGUGGUUGGAAAGUUUCGGCGGUGGGGGAUGGACUGGCGGGUUAUGGGCUUGUUUGUGUGGUAGUUGCUUACCAAGGCUUUGACGGGUAGGCGGCAUGGGAGGGUAGCCAGCCACAUUAGGACUGCGAGACGGACCAGAAUCGUACGGGAGGCAGCAGUCGGGAGUAUGACACAGUGGGCGGACGCCUGAGACGGAAACGCCGCGUGCGGAAUGCCGGCCUUCGGGGUGUGAACAGCUGUCGCCUGAGACGAAGAGGGAGUGACGGUAACGAGUAAAGAAGCACCGGCUAACUACGUG
This 468-nucleotide ribosomal RNA is filed under the name uncultured bacterium. Its description in RNAcentral is "partial 16S ribosomal RNA". It matches the Rfam family "Bacterial small subunit ribosomal RNA", at positions 28 to 507 of the family's 1533-position model. The record is from RNAcentral.